UGGGGAAUAUUGGACAAUGGGCGCAAGCCUGAUCCAGCCAUACCGCGUGGGUGAAGAAGGCCUUCGGGUUGUAAAGCCCUUUUGUUGGGAAAGAAAAGCAUUCGGUUAAUACCCGAGUGUUCUGACGGUACCCAAAGAAUAAGCACCGGCUAACUUCGUGCCAGCAGCCGCGGUAAUACGAAGGGUGCAAGCGUUACUCGGAAUUACUGGGCGUAAAGCGUGCGUAGGUGGUGAUUUAAGUCCGUUGUGAAAGCCCUGGGCUCAACCUGGGAAUUGCAGUGGAUACUGGGGUCACUAGAGUGUGGUAGAGGAUAGUGGAAUUUCCGGUGUAUGCAGUGAAAUGCGUAGAGAUCGGAAGGAACAUCUGUGGCGAAGGCGACUAUCUGGGCCAACACUGACACUGAGGCACG
Molecule: ribosomal RNA, 410 nt
Filed under: uncultured Pseudoxanthomonas sp.
Lineage: Bacteria; Pseudomonadati; Pseudomonadota; Gammaproteobacteria; Lysobacterales; Lysobacteraceae
Description: bacterial SSU rRNA
Rfam family: Bacterial small subunit ribosomal RNA
Source: RNAcentral